Molecule: ribosomal RNA, 253 nt
Filed under: uncultured bacterium
Lineage: Bacteria
Description: partial 16S ribosomal RNA
Rfam family: Bacterial small subunit ribosomal RNA
Source: RNAcentral
UACAGACGGUCCAAACGUUAUUCGGAAUUACUGGGCUUAAAGAGUUCGUAGGCGGUCAAGAAAGUGGGGUGUGAAAGCCCUCGGCUCAACCGAGGAACUGCGCUCCAAACUACUUGACUUGAGGAGGCUAGAGGUAAGCGGAACUGAUGGUGGAGCGGUGAAAUGCGUAGAUAUCAAGAGGAACACCUGCGGCGAAGGCGGGUUGCUGGGCCGACACUGACGCUGAGGCGCGAAAGCUAGGGGAGCGAACGGG